ACGACCGUGACCCGAUAAUCCGGUUUUAAUAAAUAAUGGUUUGGUUUAGUUUUAAUUAUUUCUUGAACAAAACCCUUAGUAAACCAAUUAUUUUACCUAACUAUAUAAUUGUCUUAUUCUUCCUAAACGUGAGCCGCCAGCACUCUUCUCCACACCACCUUCUUCUUCUUCUUCCUAAUUCAUGAUCUCCAUGUUCCCUUCUCUCCAUUUUAUUCUUCUCUUGAUGUUGAUAUUGAUGUUGAUCAAAGGAUGGAAUCAUUGCCUCGAGGUCACUGUCUUGCUUGUCGUCCUAGCCACCUCGUCACGUCGGACACACAACCGUGACUUUGGUGCCACCGUCCCAUCACCACCUCUUGACGUUGGGUUGUUGCAGCCCACCGGAGAGACAUGCCGUCAUUGACUUAGUCGCCGCAAGUCACCGCCGUCAAGACCCGUGCAAGUAAAUCAUGAUCUCAUCACUUGCUUGCCCACCAAGUUUCUUAAGUUUGAUUGUUCACUUGUACCAAUUUCUGAGCCAACGUCAUGAGCCGUGAACCCAUGCGUAAAGGUUUAAGUGACUUUGUUUAUUUCUUGAGCAGGAAGUUACUGUAAACCCUAGCCCUAACUGUCUCUUUUUGUUUCUUUUUCCGAUCGUUUCCUUUAUGCGCUAAGGUGAAGCCGGUCUAAGCCUUUCCAAUCAUUGGUUUCUUUUAUGUUUCCGGUUCUCCGAUAUUGGCUAAGGUGAGACCGACGGGCAGGAGUGAUUACUAUCGGAUUGGUGCUUUGGGAGUUUUAUUUCUUUCUUUUUCAAACUUGCGGAUUUUAUGCUUUUAUCGAUAUUCUCGAGAUUUAUUAUGUUAUUUGGAUUUAUGGCUAUUUAUUGGAUUUACGACUUUGGAGUUGAACUUUUGAGAAGUAAUAAAUGGAGAUUUCAGAAUUUUAUUUGUUUAUUUUAUUUUGGAAAAUACGGGUGUUACAAUUUGGUAUCAGAGCGGAGUUCCGUCCCGGCUCUGACCCGGGAUGGCGAUUUAUGGGACUCGGAUUUCAACAAUUUUCAAUGUUUUGGGAUUGAGAGUUAAAAAAAAAAAAAAAAAAAAGGUGACACCCUUUUGUCCAGUAUCAUUUGGUUAGUUGUUAGCGUUACUAACUCUUUUAUUUUUGCAAGAGAAUACCAAGUUUCAAUUUGUUUUGUUGUUUGCUUUAUCUUGUGUUCUUCUUUCUUUCAUAGCCGUUGAAGUUCUUUCCCGGUUCUUCAUGGAAUUCGGGGCGAAUUCCGGUUAAGUGGGGAAGAAUUGUAACGACCGUGACCCGAUAAUCCGGUUUUAAUAAAUAAUGGUUUGGUUUAGUUUUAAUUAUUUCUUGAACAAAACCCUUAGUAAACCAAUUAUUUUACCUAACUAUAUAAUUGUCUUAUUCUUCCUAAACGUGAGCCGCCAGCACUCUUCUCCACACCACCUUCUUCUUCUUCUUCCUAAUUCAUGAUCUCCAUGUUCCCUUCUCUCCAUUUUAUUCUUCUCUUGAUGUUGAUAUUGAUGUUGAUCAAAGGAUGGAAUCAUUGCCUCGAGGUCACUGUCUUGCUUGUCGUCCUAGCCACCUCGUCACGUCGGACACACAACCGUGACUUUGGUGCCACCGUCCCAUCACCACCUCUUGACGUUGGGUUGUUGCAGCCCACCGGAGAGACAUGCCGUCAUUGACUUAGUCGCCGCAAGUCACCGCCGUCAAGACCCGUGCAAGUAAAUCAUGAUCUCAUCACUUGCUUGCCCACCAAGUUUCUUAAGUUUGAUUGUUCACUUGUACCAAUUUCUGAGCCAACGUCAUGAGCCGUGAACCCAUGCGUAAAGGUUUAAGUGACUUUGUUUAUUUCUUGAGCAGGAAGUUACUGUAAACCCUAGCCCUAACUGUCUCUUUUUGUUUCUUUUUCCGAUCGUUUCCUUUAUGCGCUAAGGUGAAGCCGGUCUAAGCCUUUCCAAUCAUUGGUUUCUUUUAUGUUUCCGGUUCUCCGAUAUUGGCUAAGGUGAGACCGACGGGCAGGAGUGAUUACUAUCGGAUUGGUGCUUUGGGAGUUUUAUUUCUUUCUUUUUCAAACUUGCGGAUUUUAUGCUUUUAUCGAUAUUCUCGAGAUUUAUUAUGUUAUUUGGAUUUAUGGCUAUUUAUUGGAUUUACGACUUUGGAGUUGAACUUUUGAGAAGUAAUAAAUGGAGAUUUCAGAAUUUUAUUUGUUUAUUUUAUUUUGGAAAAUACGGGUGUUACAAUUUGGUAUCAGAGCGGGGUUCCGUCCCGGCUCUGACCCGGGAUGGCGAUUUAUGGGACUCGGAUUUCAACAAUUUUCAAUGUUUUGGGAUUGAGAGUUAAAAAAAAAAAAAAAAAAAGGUGACACCCUUUUGUCCAGUAUCAUUUGGUUAGUUGUUAGCGUUACUAACUCUUUUAUUUUUGCAAGAGAAUACCAAGUUUCAAUUUGUUUUGUUGUUUGCUUUAUCUUGUGUUCUUCUUUCUUUCAUAGCCGUUGAAGUUCUUUCCCGGUUCUUCAUGGAAUUCGGGGCGAAUUCCGGUUAAGUGGGGAAGAAUUGUAACGACCGUGACCCGAUAAUCCGGUUUUAAUAAAUAAUGGUUUGGUUUAGUUUUAAUUAUUUCUUGAACAAAACCCUUAGUAAACCAAUUAUUUUACCUAACUAUAUAAUUGUCUUAUUCUUCCUAAACGUGAGCCGCCAGCACUCUUCUCCACACCACCUUCUUCUUCUUCUUCCUAAUUCAUGAUCUCCAUGUUCCCUUCUCUCCAUUUUAUUCUUCUCUUGAUGUUGAUAUUGAUGUUGAUCAAAGGAUGGAAUCAUUGCCUCGAGGUCACUGUCUUGCUUGUCGUCCUAGCCACCUCGUCACGUCGGACACACAACCGUGACUUUGGUGCCACCGUCCCAUCACCACCUCUUGACGUUGGGUUGUUGCAGCCCACCGGAGAGACAUGCCGUCAUUGACUUAGUCGCCGCAAGUCACCGCCGUCAAGACCCGUGCAAGUAAAUCAUGAUCUCAUCACUUGCUUGCCCACCAAGUUUCUUAAGUUUGAUUGUUCACUUGUACCAAUUUCUGAGCCAACGUCAUGAGCCGUGAACCCAUGCGUAAAGGUUUAAGUGACUUUGUUUAUUUCUUGAGCAGGAAGUUACUGUAAACCCUAGCCCUAACUGUCUCUUUUUGUUUCUUUUUCCGAUCGUUUCCUUUAUGCGCUAAGGUGAAGCCGGUCUAAGCCUUUCCAAUCAUUGGUUUCUUUUAUGUUUCCGGUUCUCCGAUAUUGGCUAAGGUGAGACCGACGGGCAGGAGUGAUUACUAUCGGAUUGGUGCUUUGGGAGUUUUAUUUCUUUCUUUUUCAAACUUGCGGAUUUUAUGCUUUUAUCGAUAUUCUCGAGAUUUAUUAUGUUAUUUGGAUUUAUGGCUAUUUAUUGGAUUUACGACUUUGGAGUUGAACUUUUGAGAAGUAAUAAAUGGAGAUUUCAGAAUUUUAUUUGUUUAUUUUAUUUUGGAAAAUACGGGUGUUACAAUUUGGUAUCAGAGCGGAGUUCCGUCCCGGCUCUGACCCGGGAUGGCGAUUUAUGGGACUCGGAUUUCAACAAUUUUCAAUGUUUUGGGAUUGAGAGUUAAAAAAAAAAAAAAAAAAAGGUGACACCCUUUUGUCCAGUAUCAUUUGGUUAGUUGUUAGCGUUACUAACUCUUUUAUUUUUGCAAGAGAAUACCAAGUUUCAAUUUGUUUUGUUGUUUGCUUUAUCUUGUGUUCUUCUUUCUUUCAUAGCCGUUGAAGUUCUUUCCCGGUUCUUCAUGGAAUUCGGGGCGAAUUCCGGUUAAGUGGGGAAGAAUUGUAACGACCGUGACCCGAUAAUCCGGUUUUAAUAAAUAAUGGUUUGGUUUAGUUUUAAUUAUUUCUUGAACAAAACCCUUAGUAAACCAAUUAUUUUACCUAACUAUAUAAUUGUCUUAUUCUUCCUAAACGUGAGCCGCCAGCACUCUUCUCCACACCACCUUCUUCUUCUUCUUCCUAAUUCAUGAUCUCCAUGUUCCCUUCUCUCCAUUUUAUUCUUCUCUUGAUGUUGAUAUUGAUGUUGAUCAAAGGAUGGAAUCAUUGCCUCGAGGUCACUGUCUUGCUUGUCGUCCUAGCCACCUCGUCACGUCGGACACACAACCGUGACUUUGGUGCCACCGUCCCAUCACCACCUCUUGACGUUGGGUUGUUGCAGCCCACCGGAGAGACAUGCCGUCAUUGACUUAGUCGCCGCAAGUCACCGCCGUCAAGACCCGUGCAAGUAAAUCAUGAUCUCAUCACUUGCUUGCCCACCAAGUUUCUUAAGUUUGAUUGUUCACUUGUACCAAUUUCUGAGCCAACGUCAUGAGCCGUGAACCCAUGCGUAAAGGUUUAAGUGACUUUGUUUAUUUCUUGAGCAGGAAGUUACUGUAAACCCUAGCCCUAACUGUCUCUUUUUGUUUCUUUUUCCGAUCGUUUCCUUUAUGCGCUAAGGUGAAGCCGGUCUAAGCCUUUCCAAUCAUUGGUUUCUUUUAUGUUUCCGGUUCUCCGAUAUUGGCUAAGGUGAGACCGACGGGCAGGAGUGAUUACUAUCGGAUUGGUGCUUUGGGAGUUUUAUUUCUUUCUUUUUCAAACUUGCGGAUUUUAUGCUUUUAUCGAUAUUCUCGAGAUUUAUUAUGUUAUUUGGAUUUAUGGCUAUUUAUUGGAUUUACGACUUUGGAGUUGAACUUUUGAGAAGUAAUAAAUGGAGAUUUCAGAAUUUUA
This is a long non-coding RNA of Brassica rapa (field mustard), 4747 nucleotides long. RefSeq lists it as uncharacterized. The record is from RefSeq and is a predicted model, not a curated record. Lineage: Eukaryota; Viridiplantae; Streptophyta; Magnoliopsida; Brassicales; Brassicaceae.